AGAGUUUGAUCCUGGCUCAGGACGAACGCUGGCGGUGUGCUUCACACAUGCAAGUCGAACGAGGUAGCAAUACCUAGUGGCGGACGGGUGAGUAAUACGUGGGAAUCUGCCUUGAGAUGGGGGAUAGCAGGCCGAAAGGCCUAUUAAUACCGCAUAUGCCGAAAGGUAAAAGGAGUAAUCCGUCUCAAGAUGAGCUCACG
RNAcentral lists this ribosomal RNA (200 nucleotides) under uncultured bacterium. RNAcentral's name for it is "partial 16S ribosomal RNA". It matches the Rfam family "Bacterial small subunit ribosomal RNA", at positions 8 to 235 of the family's 1533-position model. The record is from RNAcentral.